GACGAACGCUGGCGGCGUGCCUAACACAUGCAAGUCGAGCGGGGUCCAUCCAGUGGCAACACUGGGGAAGACCUAGCGGCGAACGGGUGAGUAACACGUGAGGAACUUGCCCCGGAGUACGGGAUAACUCGAGGAAACUCGAGCUAAUACCGUAUGCCCUCUUCUGGUCGCAUGGCCGGAUGAGGAAAGAUUUAUCGCUCCGGGAGAGCCGCGCGGCCUAUCAGGUAGUUUGUGGGGUAACGGCCCACCAAGCCAUCGACGGGUAGCUGGUCUGAGAGGACGAUCAGCCACACUGGGACUGAGACACGGCCCAGACUCCUACGGGAUGCAGCAGUGGGGAAUCUUGCGCAAUGGGCGAAAGCCUGACGCGGCAACGCCGCGUGCGAAAUGAAGGCCUUCGGGUUGUAAACCGCUUUCAGCAGGGAAGAGAUUGACGGUACCUGCAGAAGAAGCCCCGGCCAACUACGUGCCAGCCGCCGCGGUAACAC
This 488-nucleotide ribosomal RNA is filed under the name uncultured bacterium. RNAcentral describes it as "bacterial SSU rRNA". It matches the Rfam family "Bacterial small subunit ribosomal RNA", at positions 28 to 526 of the family's 1533-position model. The record is from RNAcentral.